Molecule: ribosomal RNA, 468 nt
Filed under: uncultured bacterium
Lineage: Bacteria
Description: partial 16S ribosomal RNA
Rfam family: Bacterial small subunit ribosomal RNA
Source: RNAcentral
GACGAACGCUGGCGGCGUGCUUAACACAUGCAAGUCGAACGGAAAGGCCCUGCUUUUGUGGGGUGCUCGAGUGGCGAACGGGUGAGUAACACGUGAGUAACCUGCCCUUGACUUUGGGAUAACUUCAGGAAACUGGGGCUAAUACCGGAUAGGAGCUCCUGCUGCAUGGUGGGGGUUGGAAAGUUUCGGCGGUUGGGGAUGGACUCGCGGCUUAUCAGCUUGUUGGUGGGGUAGUGGCUUACCAAGGCUUUGACGGGUAGCCGGCCUGAGAGGGUGACCGGCCACAAUGGGACUGAGAUACGGCCCAGACUCCUACGGGAGGCAGCAGUGGGGAAUAUUGCACAAUGGGCGGAAGCCUGAUGCAGAAACGCCGCGUGCGGGAUGACGGCCUGCGGGUUGUAAACCGCUUUCGCCUGUGACGAAGCGUGAGUGACGGUAAUGGGUAAAGAAGCACCGGCUAACUACGUG